Girardinichthys multiradiatus is the source of this 379-nucleotide long non-coding RNA. RefSeq lists it as uncharacterized. Lineage: Eukaryota; Metazoa; Chordata; Actinopteri; Cyprinodontiformes; Goodeidae. The record is from RefSeq and is a predicted model, not a curated record. The transcript has 3 exons.
AGCUUAAUUUACAGUUGUCCCUGAGGAGGCCUUUUCUUCAGCUUCUUAUCUCUGUUCUUGAUGACUCCAGCAGUACACAAAGCCCAGAAAGCAGAACCGAUACAAAUGAAGAAAUUGCAUGAUACGCAUGGACCAGUGUUCCACUUAUGCAUGGGUGCCUGGUUAAGAUAUGAAAUGGGGAAGCAUCACCUCCACCACAAACUGCAGAGUGUGUUGUGAACUGUCAGACUGAGGAGAUCACCUUGAGACGGAGCAGCUUUUAUUUCCCAAUCAGACAAUGUUGUACAGGGAGAGCUGGAUUGAACUAACUCAGAGGUGAAAGAGAGUCAGACUGAAAUUUAUAAAUUAUUUCUAGUACUUAACUUUUUUUCUUGUUAAA